RNAcentral lists this long non-coding RNA (3611 nucleotides) under Danio rerio (zebrafish). RNAcentral's name for it is "si:ch211-168h21.2 (ENSDARG00000103245.2)". The record is from RNAcentral. Lineage: Eukaryota; Metazoa; Chordata; Actinopteri; Cypriniformes; Danionidae.
GUGUUACUGGGCAACGACAGCACGAGGCAUGUUCAAACCCUACAGUCUAUGGUUCAAACUGGCCUCAGGACGCAAAAUGCCAGAUUUGCAGAUUACACAUUCAUUUAUCUCCACUCUGAAGAGGCAUAAGGAAUUCAUUGGAGUAAGAGGAAGAACGCAUGCGGAGAUGAUGGAGAUUCACAUGCAGAUUCACAUGGGUGUAUAAUAUAGAGCUUAAAAUAGAGAAAGCAAAAGGACCGCACUGCCCACACUCCAAGUCCUCUUGCCCCGAAAACCGCAUCUGACCACCAGGACCUCAGGGAAACCACGGCCUGAUGGAGGAAUAAAGACAGCCAGAGAGACGGAGAGGUGGAGAGGCUUUGGCCCCUCAGCUGCUGAUGGUGGUAUUAAGAUAUUAAUUGCUUUUUGACAUUAUUUGGUUGCGGGCGGCUUGGUGAGCCCAUGUUUUACACUGAAGGCCACACACACUAAAACACACCUCAUUCUGUAUUAGACUCAACACUGCAUCAAAUCGAAUGUUCAAAAAGGCUUUAUUUGACGAUACUGAGAGCACUAAAGUGUGGUGCAAAGUUUGAAGUGCUUUAAAAUGUGGGAAAUUUCAUGUAAUCUCAACGUAAACAUGAAGAGAGGGUGGGGCAUUUAGAAGCUCCAUAUAUAUAUAAAAACAGCCGAAAGCAUUUUGCUUUUAUCACAGGUCUGCCACUGAGAGUGGUUGAGCUUAAACACAUUAAAUGAAAAGUAAAUGAAAAUGGAUCUAAAGGGGGCGGGGCAUGUCAAUGAUUGGUCAGAAGGUUUGGUGAGAAACUGAAGUAUGAUGUAACGUCAAAAAAAUCAACCCAGGCUCAUUAUGGAUACAUACCUCUACAUACAUUUCUGGAGAGCACAAAAUAGGUCCCAGGAGCUGAUCUCUUGGAGUUUUUGUUUUCGCAAAGCCACCAGAGGCCGCUGUGUACUCUUUUUCAGAUCUCAAAUUUCUCUCACGAGUGCCAUUCACACCUGCUGUUCUCGCGUAAAUCCACCAGAGGCCGCUGUCGUCUAACUAAGGACUGACCAAUCAUCAGACCGAUCCCUCGACCAACCUCCUUCCCUAAACCCAACAGAAAGUGUUUUCAAAGGCACCAUUUGACCAGCGCCCACAGCCCUCCCUGAACCCAACCGACAGUGUUUUCAAAAGCAAUCCAGAAAAAGAUAAGCUGCCUGAUUUUUACCACAUUUUCAGAUCUUACCACAUUCUCACCCUGUUAUUUAUUUUAAUUUUUUUUUUGCCUUUGGUUUUUACCCGUUUUCUGGAACCCUUUUUAGCUGGACUCAAACCCUGUCAUCACAGUUUACUCUGAUUUGGGUCUCAAGUCCCCUGACAUACACUGAGAGCUACUGGACAAACUGGUAAAAGCGGAAAAAGCCGUCCAUAUCGUGGUAAGCGGCCAUCUGGUAGAGUAAAAAGAAACAGAAGCCGUCUGCAGUGUCAUACCGCCCCGUAUAGCAUUUGGUUUGAAGAUGAAAUGCAGUCAAACGCACCUUUGGCUACAUUAUCUGUGCUCUCCAGAAAUGUAUAUGAGGGUACAUAUUCACAAUGAGCCUGUGUUGGAAAAAAAAAUGUUAAUCCAUUUAGGUGGAAGUGACAAACUGCAAGCUUUGGAUGUUUAUAUCAGAUUUACAUCUUCUAAAUGCAAAUUUUGUAUUGGAGUUUUGUACGAACAUACUGAUACUAACAUAUUUGAGUUUUAAUUUCACGGGAUAUUUAAAGUUUUAAAACAAGCCUUCAGUGAUAUUAACAACAAGAUAUAUUAACAUUGUAAUAAUAAUAGUACGAAAUAUUACAAUAGCGAGGCAGUGGCGCAGUAGGUAGUGCUGUCGCCUCACAGCAAGAAGGUUGCUGGGUCGCUGGUUCGAACCUCGGCUCAGUUGGCGUUUCUCUGAAGAGUUUGCAUGUUCUCCCUGCCUUCUCGUGGGUUUCCUCCGGGUGCUCCGGUUUCCCCCACAGUCCAAAGACAUGCGGUACAGGUGAAUUGGGUAGGCUAAAUUGUCCGUAAUGUAUGAGUGUGUGUGAAUGUGUGUAUGUGGAUGUUUCCCAGAGAUGGGUUGUGGCUAGAAGGGCAUACGCUGCGUAAAAACUUGCUGGAUAAGUUGGCGGUUCAUUCCGCUGUGGCGACCCCAGAUUAAUGAAGCGACUAAGCUGACAAGAAGAUGAAUGAAUAUUACAAUAUAUUAUUACAAAUUAAACUACCUGAUUUCUAUUCAGGUCGUCACAGUGGCGCUGUGGGUAGCACAAUCGCUUCACAGCAAGAAGGUUGCUGGUUUAAGCCUCAGCUGGGUCAGUUGCCACUUCUGUGUGGAGUUUGCAUGUUCUCCCUGUGUCUCCCCCACAGUCCAAACACAUGUGGUAUAGGUGUUUGUGUAUAAAAGAGUGUAUGGGUGUUUCCCAGUGUUGGGUUGCAGCUGGAAGGGUAUUCGCUUCGUAAAACAUAGCUGGAUAAAUUGGUGGUUCAUCCUGCUGUGGCGACCCCUGAUUAAUAAAGGGACAAAGCCGGAAAGAAAAUUAAGGAUUUCUAUUCAAAUAUCUUUUAAAAUGUAAUUUAUUGCUGGUAUAAAAAGCUGAAUGUCCAGCAUCAUGAUCCUAAUCAUCAUCACAUAAUCCUCCAGAAAUCAUUCUAAAAUGAACGAUUUCUUUAGUUUAUUUUGUACAUUUGAUUCACCAACAUGUUUUAAAGCUCUUGCUGCUUUUAUUCAGUAAGGAGGUAUUUAGUUAAUUAAACAAACAUAAGGGAAUAUCAUAAUUGCAUCAAAUUAAGCAUUAAAUAACUAAUUGUCUUCAAAUCUGCAUAUUAGAAUGAUUUCUGAAGGAUUAAUGAUGAGUAAUAAAAGCAAAUUACAUUUUUAAAUCUAUUCAAAUGGAACUUUUGACCAUCACUGUAUAUUUCUCAUAUGAAUUUGCUGCUUUUCAUGCAAAUAUUGUGCAUUAAAAAAAAACAAUGUUUACAUGUCAGUUCAUGGCCAUUGGCAAGCAUUUUUUUUGCCGACAGUUUAAAGCCUACACCAGCACUGACCUUGUAAAGAUGCAAAAAUUAUGUAACCUGUGUGAUUCUGUACACCACAAGCUCAUAAACACCAGCGUUCCUGGUCAGGAUCACAGAGAUGGAGAAAGUAAAUCAGCAGGCGUUCGCUCUGAAGGACACACAGAACCCUAUACUUAAAUACUGCCGUCAUCUUCUCUGUGUCGUCAACCCUCUGUGUGUGUGUGUGUGUGUGUGUGUGUGUGUGUGUGUGUGUUUACACAGGCAAGCUUACAUUACAUGUAUCAGGUAACUCUUAAUGCAUUUUUAAAAGAAAUAACUACAAUGUUCAAAAUCCCUGAAUGGAUAUUAUUGGAUUCUGUGUGCUUUGCUGUGCUUUUCAUUGGCAUCAAUCUAUAGCCAGUACAUUCAUAAGUUGUAUUUGACAUAUUUUAAAGUUAAACAUUAAUUUUUACAUUUAGAAAUGAUUGUAUUUUGCAGAAUUUUGUUGUAUUAUUUUAUGUACCGUAAUUAGUUCACCCCAAAGUGAUAAUUUUUCACACACUGAAGUGGUUUAAAACUUCAUUCAUUUAUUUUCUUUUUUUCGGCUUAGUCCCU